This 428-nucleotide ribosomal RNA is filed under the name uncultured bacterium. Its description in RNAcentral is "partial 16S ribosomal RNA". It matches the Rfam family "Bacterial small subunit ribosomal RNA", at positions 354 to 796 of the family's 1533-position model. The record is from RNAcentral.
GUAGGGAAUAUUGCGCAAUGGGGGAAACCCUGACGCAGCGACGCCGCGUGAGUGAUGAAGGCCUUCGGGUCGUAAAGCUCUGUUGCAGGGGAAUAAAAAAAUGAAGGUACCCUGUGAGGAAGGAUCGGCUAACUUCGUGCCAGCAGCCACGGUAAGACGAGGGAUCCUAGCGUUGCUCGGAAUCAUUGGGCGUAAAGAGGGCGUAGGUGGCUUGGUAAGUCAGGUGUGAAAGCCCAGGGCUCAACCCUGGAAGUGCAUUUGAUACUGCUGAGCUUGAGUGUCGGAGAGGUUACCGGAAUACCUGGUGUAGUGGUGAAAUACGUAGAUAUCAGGUGGAACACCGGAGGCGAAGGCGGGUAACUGGACGAACACUGACACUGAGGCCCGAAAGCGUGGGGAUCAAACAGGAUUAGAAACCCGAGUAGUCC